Molecule: unclassified non-coding RNA, 352 nt
Filed under: soil metagenome
Description: partial contains 5.8S ribosomal RNA, internal transcribed spacer 2, and large subunit ribosomal RNA
Rfam family: 5.8S ribosomal RNA (bases 1-120)
Source: RNAcentral
GAUGAAGAACGUAGCGAAAUGCGAUACGUAAUGUGAAUUGCAGAAUUCAGUGAAUCAUCGAAUCUUUGAACGCACAUUGCGCCCGCUGGUACUCCGGCGGGCACGCCUGUCCGAGCGUCAUUUCAACCCUCAAGCCCUCCUUCGGGAUGGGCCUGGUGUUGGGGCUCGGCCGCCAUCUCCGGCGGCCGUCCCCUAAAUACAGUGGCGGUCACGUCGCGACUCCUUUGCGUAGUAGAAACACCUCGCUCCGGAUAGCAACGCGGUCCACGCCGUAAAACCCCCAAUUUUCAAUGGUUGACCUCGGAUCAGGUGGGAAUACCCGCUGAACUUAAGCAUAUCAAUAAGCGGAGGA